UGUAUUAUAUGACCAAUCAGAGGCGGUUGAGGCGGAACAGAAUCACAAGGCCAGAUGAGAAGCUGGGAAGCGGAGAAACGAAGUCGGGAAACAGAUUUAUACCAGCGAUAGCGCCGAAGCCUUGGUUUGUCGGUGCUGUGAGAAAACAUAAUUGCCGAAGAAGCCUGGAUGCUAAAACAGGCGCUGGAGCUGCUGCUUUGUUGAUCACGAGUGAGACUGGACGCUGAACACACCCGAGGCUCGAAGGUUGACUUUUUCAGCUGCUGCAGCUUGGACAGAACCAACGACGUCCACCUUACAGACCAACAGGUGUCACCACUUCAUCCACACCAUUGUCCACAAUCGCCGAGACGUCAUCCACGAUCGGAGAGACAUGGUCCAUGAUUGGAGAGACAUUGUUGAGGAUGAGGGAGACAUUGUCCACGAUCAGAGACGUUGUCCACGAUCACAGAGACCUUGUCAAAGAUGAGAGAGACGUUGUCCAUGAUCAGAGACAUUGUCCCAUGCUUCGUAGAGACCUUGCGAUAGAAUCGGCGGAGACGGGGGUCACCGAUUUGACGGCACUGCCCGCGAUCAUGGACACAUUGUCAAUGAUUACAGAGACAGCGUCUAUGAUCUCAGAGACAUCGUCCACGAUCACAAAGACAUUGUCCAUGAUCGCAGAGACAUUGUCCAUAAUCUCAGAGACAUUGUCCGCGAUCACAGAGACGUAGUCCACGAUCACAGAGUCUUCGUACAAUGAAGAAGGUCUUUGAGACCAGGACAGACGCCUCCAGGUAAUUCACAAACAGCUUUACAUCAACUGUCCAAGACAGAGCACUGACAUUCAGUUAUCUAUGUUCAGUAUUCAGUAUAUCAGUAUUUCAUUUUCUGAAAAAGCUCUCUAAUGUUUGUUAAAUGUUGUGGUUCAACUGUAAUGUUGAAUAUUUAUCUGUGUUUUCAUGGUUAAAUUGUUGAUGAAGAAUAGACAGUAGUGCAUUAAUCAUUUUCCUUUGUAUGUUUCUCUUGGAUUUCCUCCAGGUGUCACCACUUAAACCAUAACAUCAUCCACGAUCGGAGAGACAUGGUCCAUGAUUGGAGAGACAUUGUUGAGGAUGAGGGAGACAUUGUCCACGAUCAGAGACGUUGUCCACGAUCGCAGAGACCUUGUCAAAGAUGAGAGAGACGUUGUCCAUGAUCAGAGACAUUGUCCCAUGCUUCGUAGAGACCUUGCGAUAGAAUCGGCGGAGACAGGGGUCACCGAUUUGACGGCACUGCCCGCGAUCAUGGACACAUUGUCAAUGAUCACAGAGACAGCGUCUAUGAUCUCAGAGACAUCGUCCACGAUCACAAAGACAUUGUCCAUGAUCGCAGAGACAUUGUCCAUAAUCUCAGAGACAUUGUCUGCGAUCACAGAGACGUAGUCCACGAUCACAGAGAGUCUUUGUACAAUGAAGACCAGGACAGACGCCUCCAGAUUUCACCACUUCAUCCAUGAUCGCACAGGUCCCUGAUUCAAUGGCAUCGCCUGUGUGAGACGUAAGAAAAUAUUUUUUUUA
Molecule: long non-coding RNA, 1538 nt
Organism: Lates calcarifer (barramundi perch)
Lineage: Eukaryota; Metazoa; Chordata; Actinopteri; Centropomidae
Exons: 4
Source: RefSeq, a predicted model, not a curated record